AAAAUUAAUGGUUAAAAUAGUAAUUUAAAUAAUAUAAAAAAACAAAAUAAAACACAAUAACAGUAAAUAAAUUAACUAAAAAACAGUGAGAAAAAAAUAGAAAGAACAACAUCCGAACCUAUCUGAAUUAUCAAACAACCCGAUACUAACAUAACUAAAAGAAAACCAAAAUAAAAAGAGUCAAAUUUCAAAUAAAAAAAAAACAUCAUCUUUAAAAAAAUAGAAAAAAAAACAAAUCAAUCCCAG
This 246-nucleotide long non-coding RNA is filed under the name Populus trichocarpa (black cottonwood). RNAcentral's name for it is "long non-coding RNA (PTRI_LNC002586)". The record is from RNAcentral. Lineage: Eukaryota; Viridiplantae; Streptophyta; Magnoliopsida; Malpighiales; Salicaceae.